AGCUUGGAGCAUUUUUUGGCAUUCUGUUUGGAGCUUUGGGGCUCUUGCUGAUAGUAUCCUUGCCUGUUAUCUGGAAAUACAAAUCAUCUAAAAAGGAAAGACUCAUAAAUGAGAAUGACAGCACUGCAAGUGGUGAAAAUUAUGGAAGAUAUUAUUCACAACCGAAUGUAUGGUAAACAAACAACAGAAAAUUCUACACCCAGUACUGUAUUCUGUAAUUCCAUGAUCCUACACACAACGGAACACUGUUGAAAGUUAUGA
Rhincodon typus (whale shark) is the source of this 261-nucleotide long non-coding RNA. RefSeq lists it as uncharacterized. The record is from RefSeq and is a predicted model, not a curated record. Lineage: Eukaryota; Metazoa; Chordata; Chondrichthyes; Orectolobiformes; Rhincodontidae. The transcript has 3 exons.